AGGAACCUACGGGGCGCAGCAGUGGGGAAUAUUGCACAAUGGGGGGAACCCUGAUGCAGCGACGCCGCGUGAGUGAAGAAGUAUUUCGGUAUGUAAAGCUCUAUCAGCAGGGAAGAUAACGACGGUACCUGACUAAGAAGCCCCGGCUAACUACGUGCCAGCAGCCGCGGUAAUACGUAGGGGGCAAGCGUUAUCCGGAUUUACUGGGUGUAAAGGGUGCGUAGGUGGCAGGGCAAGUCAGAUGUGAAAGCCCGGAGCCCAACCCCGGUACUGCAUUUGAAACUGUCCGGCUGGAGUGCAGGAGG
Molecule: ribosomal RNA, 305 nt
Filed under: uncultured bacterium
Lineage: Bacteria
Description: bacterial SSU rRNA
Rfam family: Bacterial small subunit ribosomal RNA
Source: RNAcentral